UGAGGAAUAUUGGUCAAUGGACGCAAGUCUGAACCAGCCAAGUAGCGUGCAGGAUGACGGCCCUAUGGGUUGUAAACUGCUUUUAUAUGGGGAUAAAGUGGGGAACGUGUUCCCUUUUGCAGGUACCAUAUGAAUAAGGACCGGCUAAUUCCGUGCCAGCAGCCGCGGUAAUACGGAAGGUUCGGGGGUUAUCCGGAUUUAUUGGGUUUAAAGGGAGCGUAGGCCGUUUGGUAAGCGUGUUGUGAAAUGUAGGAGCUCAACUUCUAGAUUGCAGCGCGAACUGUCAGACUUGAGUGCGCACAACGUAGGCGGAAUUCAUGGUGUAGCGGUGAAAUGCUUAGAUAUCAUGAAGAACUCCGAUUGCGAAGGCAGCUUACGGGAGCGCAACUGACGCUGAAGCUCGAAGGUGCGGGUAUCGAACAGG
Molecule: ribosomal RNA, 424 nt
Filed under: Verrucomicrobiota bacterium
Lineage: Bacteria; Pseudomonadati; Verrucomicrobiota
Description: Verrucomicrobia bacterium partial 16S ribosomal RNA
Rfam family: Bacterial small subunit ribosomal RNA
Source: RNAcentral